UUGUAAACUUCAACAAAAUAAAAUACAUAUCAAAUAUCAUGUGCUUCAGUGUCUUCUGUUAUCCCAAUUUCUCGAAGAUGCCUCAUUGGUGCUUCAUCAUCACUUUGUGCCUUCACUUCUUCUUUUCUUGAACCAUAAUCCCACAAAAGUGAAGCAUAUCUUGUGCGAAUAAGAUCUGUACCAUGUAUAACAUUUACAAGUCAAAACAGUGGUACUUAUGUAUUUACUAUAUACAUAUUAUAUUUACAUUGAAACAUAUACAUAUACAAACAUUGUCAUCUACUCUUUAUAAACAAAUACAACUGAGCAAAAAUAUAAAUAUUAGCAGUACAAAUAAGAAAAUACAUAUCUAACUGAUAACAAAUACAUUUCAUAUGAUUCCAAGCAAACAAAUUAUAUAUGUAUUUUAUUUAUACAUAAUUUGUCAAAAAAUCAUACUUAUCAAUAAAAAAGAACAUAUCAUAGUCAAAUACAUAUCUUAUCAGUAAACAAAAUAAAUACAUAUCUAACUUGUACCAUGUAUAACAUUAACAUGUCAAAAUAGUGGCACUUAUAUAUUUACAAUGUACAUAUUAUAUUUACCUUGAAACAUAUACAUAAGCAUUUCAUGAAUACAUGAAUGGUCGAAAUAUAACUUACAAAUAAAAUAUACAACUGAACAUCAAUUACAAACCUUAUCAGUAACAAAUAUAAAUAUCUUACUCAUACCGUAAAUACAAAAUACAUAUAUAAAAUAUACUAUACAUAACAAAAUAUAAUUAUUAUCAGUAACAAAAUUAUAUGCAUACUAACAAUUUUAGAUAUAACAGAUGCAUAUCAACACAUUAGCAACAAAACUCAAAAAUAAACACUUUAUAAAAUGUAUAUAUAAAAUACAUAUAUGAACAUAUUGUCCAGAAACUAUAAAAUUUUACACAUAUCAGAAUACCUCCUCCAUUUUCUCUUCUUCAAAUUCAAAAUAAGAUGAAACAGUACUUGUAAUUUUACUAGAUUUUUUUUUUCAUCUGACUUUCUUUUUUUCACUGAUUUUUAAUUUUUUGUGGGUUUGGGGGAUGAAGAUUUUGUCAAAUGCUUUUCGUUUCAUGAUUUCCACAGUCUUUACGAGAUCGUUACGCUGCUUCGAUCUCAACUCUUCAAUGCUAACACCUUCCUUCUACUGAACUACUACGAUUUACAUGUUUUGGCAUUAUAGAGGAACUCCAAAAAUUUCAACACACAAGAAUUAAAAAAAAUAAAAAACCCCAAAAAAUCACAACAAAGAAGAAUGUGGAAAAAGAAUGCCCCAGAAAUUUCAAUACACAAAAAUAAAGAAAAAUAAAAAUCCCCCAAAACAAAAAUGCUGAAGAAUGUGGAAAAAAUACCGAAAAUAAAUUACAUAGAAGAACUUAUAUGGAAAAGAUAACAUGCAUUAACUGUAAAAUCAACUUACCUUAAUAGAUAGGGACAAUGUUAUCAAGAAUUUGAGAGAAAAAAUUCAGAAUUUGAAGAAAUAGGUUAGUACUUAAUCAGAAUUUGAAGAAAUGGGCUAGAAAAAUCUCAAAUUUCUGAAAAUUUUCCAAUUCAAAACAAAAAACCCCAAAUUUAUG
RNAcentral lists this long non-coding RNA (1586 nucleotides) under Capsicum annuum. Its description in RNAcentral is "long non-coding RNA (CANN_LNC019472)". The record is from RNAcentral. Lineage: Eukaryota; Viridiplantae; Streptophyta; Magnoliopsida; Solanales; Solanaceae.